AUUGAACGCUGGCGGCAUGCCUUACACAUGCAAGUCGAACGGCAGCGGGGGAGAAGCUUGCUUUUCCUGCCGGCGAGUGGCGAACGGGUGAGUAAUACAUCGGAACGUGCCCUGUAGUGGGGGAUAACUAGUCGAAAGAUUAGCUAAUACCGCAUACGACCUGAGGGUGAAAGUGGGGGACUGCAAGGCCUCAUGCUAUAGGAGCGGCCGAUGUCUGGUUAGCUAGUUGGUGGGGUAAAGGCCUACCAAGGCGACGAUCAGUAGCUGGUCUGAGAGGACGAUCAGCCACACUGGGACUGAGACACGGCCCAGACUCCUACGGGAGGCAGCAGUGGGGAAUUUUGGACAAUGGGCGAAAGCCUGAUCCAGCAAUGCCGCGUGUGUGAAGAAGGCCUUCGGGUUGUAAAGCACUUUGUCCGGAAAGAAUGGCUCUGGUUAAUACCUGGGGUCGAUGACGGUACCGGAAGAAUAAGGACCGGCUAACUACGUGCCAGCCGCCGCAGUAA
Molecule: ribosomal RNA, 506 nt
Filed under: uncultured bacterium
Lineage: Bacteria
Description: partial 16S ribosomal RNA
Rfam family: Bacterial small subunit ribosomal RNA
Source: RNAcentral